Molecule: long non-coding RNA, 319 nt
Filed under: Arachis ipaensis
Lineage: Eukaryota; Viridiplantae; Streptophyta; Magnoliopsida; Fabales; Fabaceae
Description: long non-coding RNA (AIPA_LNC000058)
Source: RNAcentral
AAGAUUCUAUAGGAAUAUUUUUAUAUUCCCUUUCUACAGCUUAUUCCAAGCUCCAAAAUACAAGUCAUUUUUUUUGAACACAAGAGAAGAUCAAUUUCUAUUUCUAUAAAAUGGGAUAUGAUAUAUAAAAAAAAUACAUCAAAUCAUGGCUUCACGUAUCAAAUAUUUUCUUUUUCUAUCGGUGCUUCCGGUAUAUUUCCGGCAAUUAAUGACUGGGAGAAAGAGACUUUUCACUUACAGUCUCUUCUCUUAUUAUUUCUAUUAUUUUAUUUAAUAUUAAUUAAAAUAUUUUAAUUCAAUUAAUAUUAAUUACUCGGAU